This 1489-nucleotide ribosomal RNA is filed under the name uncultured Bordetella sp. RNAcentral describes it as "partial 16S-23S ribosomal RNA intergenic spacer". It matches the Rfam family "Bacterial small subunit ribosomal RNA". Lineage: Bacteria; Pseudomonadati; Pseudomonadota; Betaproteobacteria; Burkholderiales; Alcaligenaceae. The record is from RNAcentral.
GGUUUGAUUCUGGCUCAGAUUGAGCAGCUGGCGGGAUGCGCACUUUACACAUGCAAGUCGAACGGCAGCACGGACUUCGGUCUGGUGGCGAUGGCGAACGGGUGAGUAAUGUAUCGGAACGUGCCUAGUAGCGGGGGAUAACUACGCGGCGUAGCUAAUACACAUACGCCCUUCGAGGAAAGCGGGGGACCUUCGGGCCUCACACUAUUAGAGCGGCCGAUAUCGAAGUUAGUUGGUGGGGUAACGGCUCACCAGGCGACGAUCCGUAGCUGGUUUGAGAGGACGACCAGCCACACUGGGACUGAGACACGGCCAGACUCCUACGGAGGAGGCAGCAGUGGGGAAUUUUUGGACAAUGGGGAAACCUGAUCCAGCCAUCCCGCGUGUGCGAUGAAGGCCUUCGGGUUGCAAGCACUUUUGGCAGGAAAAGAAACAGCUUUUGGGAUAAUACCCCGUGCAACUGACGACGCCUGCAGAAUAAGCACCGGCUAACUACGUGCCAGCAGCCGCGGUAAUACGUAGGGUGCAAGCGUUAAUCGGAAUUACUGGGCGUAAAGCGUGCGCAGGCGGUUCGGAAGAAAGAUGUGAAAUCCCAGAGCUUAACUUUGGAACUGCAUUUUAACUACCGAGCUAGAGUGUGUCAGAGGGAGGUGGAAUUCCGCGAUAUAGCAGUGAAAUGCGUAGAUAUGCGGAGGAACACCGAUAGCGGAGGCAGCCUCCUGGGAUAACACUGACGCUCAUGCACGAAAAGCGUGGGGAGCAAACGGGAUUAGAUACCCUGGUAGUCCGCGCCCUAAACGAUGUCAACUGGCUAUUUAAGGGCCUUCGGGCCUUGGUAGCGCAACUAACGCGUGAAGUUGACCGCCUGGGAAGAUACGGUCACAAGAUUAAAACUCAAAGGAAUUGACGGGGACCCGCACAAGCGGUGGAUGAUGUGGAUUAAUUCGAUGCAACGCGAAAAACCUUACCUACCCAUGACAUGUCUGGAAUCCCGAAGAGAUUUGGGAGUGCUCUUCAAAGAGAAGAACGGAACACAGGUGCUGCAUGGCUGUCGUCAGCUCGUGUCGUAUUGAGAUGUUGGGUUAAGUCCCGCAACGAGCGCAACCCUUGUCAUUAGUUGCUACGAAAGGGCACUCUAAUGAGACUGCCGGUGACAAACCGGAGGAAGGUGGGGAUGACGUCAAGUCCUCAUGGCCCUUAUGGGUAGAACUACACGUCAUACAAUGGUCAGGACAGAGGGUCGCCAACCCGCGAGGGGAGCCAAUCCCAGAAACCCGAUCGUAGUCCGGAUCGCAGUCUGCAACUCGACUGCGUGAAGUCAGAAUCGCUAAUCGCGGAUCAGCAUGUCGCGGUGAAUACGUUCCCGGGUCUUGUACACACCGCCGUCACACCAUGGGAGUGGGUUUUACCAGAAGUAGUUAGCCUAACCGCGUAAGGAGGGCGAAUUACGGUAGGAUUCAUGACUGGGGGUGAAGUCGUAACAAGGUAG